This 497-nucleotide ribosomal RNA is filed under the name uncultured bacterium. Its description in RNAcentral is "partial 16S ribosomal RNA". It matches the Rfam family "Bacterial small subunit ribosomal RNA", at positions 28 to 507 of the family's 1533-position model. The record is from RNAcentral.
GAUGAACGCUGGCGGCGUGCCUAAUACAUGCAAGUCGAGCGAACAGAUGAGGAGCUUGCUCCUCUGACGUUAGCGGCGGACGGGUGAGUAACACGUGGAUAACCUACCUAUAAGACUGGGAUAACUUCGGGAAACCGGAGCUAAUACCGGAUAAUAUAUUGAACCGCAUGGUUCAAUAGUGAAAGACGGUUUUGCUGUCACUUAUAGAUGGAUCCGCGCCGCAUUAGCUAGUUGGUAAGGUAACGGCUUACCAAGGCGACGAUGCGUAGCCGACCUGAGAGGGGGAGGGGCAACACGGGAACGGAGACACGCUCAAGACUCCGAGGGGGGGCGACAGGAGGGAACUUGCCGCAAUGGGGGAAGCCCUGAGGGAGCAGCGCGGGGGGAGUGAUGAGGGUCUUCGUACCUUAAAACUCUGUUAUGGGGAAAAAAAAAAGGGGUAAGUAACAAGGCACGUCUGGACGGUACCUAAUAAAAAAGCCACGGCAAACUCCGGG